This 468-nucleotide ribosomal RNA is filed under the name uncultured bacterium. RNAcentral's name for it is "partial 16S ribosomal RNA". It matches the Rfam family "Bacterial small subunit ribosomal RNA", at positions 28 to 507 of the family's 1533-position model. The record is from RNAcentral.
GACGAACGCUGGCGGCGUACUUAACACAUGCAAGUCGAACGGAAAGGCCCUGCUUUUGUGGGGUGCUCGAGUGGCGAACGGGUGAGUAACACGUGAGUAACCUGCCCUUGACUUUGGGAUAACUUCAGGAAACUGGGGCUAAUACCGGAUAGGAGCUCCUGCUGCAUGGUGGGGGUUGGAAAGUUUCGGCGGUUGGGGAUGGACUCGCGGCUUAUCAGCUUGUUGGUGGGGUAGUGGCUUACCAAGGCUUUGACGGGUAGCCGGCCUGAGAGGGUGACCGGCCACAUUGGGAAUGAGAUACGGCCCAGACUCCUACGGGAGGCAGCAGUGGGGUAUAUUGCACAAUGGGCGGAAGCCUGAUGCAGCAACGCCGCGUGCGGGAUGACGGCCUUCGGGUUGUAAACCGCUUUCGCCUGUGACGAAGCGUGAGUGACGGUAAUGGGUAAAGAAGCACCGGCUAACUACGUG